Molecule: ribosomal RNA, 253 nt
Filed under: uncultured bacterium
Lineage: Bacteria
Description: partial 16S ribosomal RNA
Rfam family: Bacterial small subunit ribosomal RNA
Source: RNAcentral
UACGAAGGGGGCUAGCGUUGCUCGGAAUCACUGGGCGUAAAGGGUGCGUAGGCGGGUUUUUAAGUCAGGGGUGAAAUCCUGGAGCUCAACUCCAGAACUGCCUUUGAUACUGGCGACCUUGAGUCCGGGAGAGGUGGGUGGAACUGCGAGUGUAGAGGUGAAAUUCGUAGAUAUUCGCAAGAACACCAGUGGCGAAGGCGGCUCACUGGCCCGGUACUGACGCUGAGGUGCGAAAGCGUGGGGAGCAAACAGG